Ovis aries (sheep) is the source of this 73-nucleotide non-coding RNA. Lineage: Eukaryota; Metazoa; Chordata; Mammalia; Artiodactyla; Bovidae. The record is from Rfam.
UCCCCGGUGGUCCAGUGGCUAACACUCAGCAUUCCCAAUGCAGGGGCCCCAGGUUCGAUCCCUGGUCAGGGAA